Molecule: non-coding RNA, 190 nt
Filed under: Clostridium sp.
Lineage: Bacteria; Bacillati; Bacillota; Clostridia; Eubacteriales; Clostridiaceae
Description: GlcN6P sequence
Rfam family: glmS glucosamine-6-phosphate activated ribozyme aptamer
About the family: This entry contains a glucosamine-6-phosphate activated ribozyme that is found in the mRNA for GlmS. GlmS is an enzyme that uses fructose-6-phosphate and glutamine to generate glucosamine-6-phosphate. The ribozyme catalyses self cleavage of the glmS mRNA that is thought to regulate GlmS activity.
Source: RNAcentral
UAGCAAAGCUAAGCGCCAUGCACCUUUUACCGGGAACGUGAACAGCAGAACAGCUGCUGCCGGUGAGAAGGUUAACGAGGAGGAGAGAUAAUCGAAACAUUCGGCGGAUACUCUCCCAUGCGGUCCGGGCGUGUGAUAUACCGUUAAAUAUGCGGGUAACUGCAAAACAGAAGCGGUAUAACCGGACAGG